Molecule: microRNA precursor, 96 nt
Organism: Neogobius melanostomus (round goby)
Lineage: Eukaryota; Metazoa; Chordata; Actinopteri; Gobiiformes; Gobiidae
Source: Ensembl
UGUGCUCUGCAGUGUGAGGUAGUUGGUUGUAUGGUUUCGCAUAAUAAACAGCACGGAGAUAACUGUACAACCUUCUAGCUUUCCCUGCGGAGUCAC